GAUGAAUUGUCGUCAUCAAGGUUUACAAUUCAGUUAAGAAGUAAAUUACAUAAUUGUCAAAACUUAAUUGUUUUUAAAGAAGACAAUUUUCAGCAGCUGUGAAUCUUGUUUGAACACGACAAACAUUAACCGCGAAGGGACGUGAAACCACAAUGCAGGAGUUUACUUAAUUGUUUACGUAAUAACUGCAUAUAAAAGCUUCAAGCCGGCAUAUGUUUCUUUAAUAGACGUUCACAGAGUAAACAGUUGCAUUUGCUAAAA
This 261-nucleotide long non-coding RNA is filed under the name Mytilus galloprovincialis (Mediterranean mussel). The record is from RNAcentral. Lineage: Eukaryota; Metazoa; Mollusca; Bivalvia; Mytilida; Mytilidae.